RNAcentral lists this ribosomal RNA (323 nucleotides) under uncultured Pseudomonadota bacterium. RNAcentral describes it as "bacterial SSU rRNA". It matches the Rfam family "Bacterial small subunit ribosomal RNA", at positions 29 to 351 of the family's 1533-position model. Lineage: Bacteria; Pseudomonadati; Pseudomonadota. The record is from RNAcentral.
AUUGAACGCUGGCGGCGUGCUUAACACAUGCAAGUCGAUCGGUAACAGGUGUAGCAAUACAUGCUGACGAGAGGCGGACGGGUGAGGAAUAUUUGGGAAUCUGCCCAUCAGCGGGGGACAACCCGGGGAAACUCGGGCUAAUACCGCAUACGCUCUACGGAGGAAAGCCGGGGACCGCAAGGCCUGGCACUGAUGGAUGAGCCCAAAUCGGAUUAGCUAGUUGGCGGGGUAACGGCCCACCAAGGCGACGAUCCGUAGCUGGUCUGAGAGGACGAUCAGCCACACCGGAACUGAGACACGGUCCGGACUCCUACGGGAGGCAG